CCUACGGGAGGCUGCAGUGAGGAAUAUUGGUCAAUGGGCGCGAGCCUGAACCAGCCAAGUCGCGUGAAGGAUGACUGCCCUACGGGUUGUAAACUUCUUUUGUAAGGGAAUAAAGUGCGGCACGUGUGCCUUUUUGUAUGUACUUUAUGAAAAAGGAUCGGCUAACUCCGUGCCAGCAGCCGCGGUAAUACGGAGGAUCCGAGCGUUAUCCGGAUUUAUUGGGUUUAAAGGGAGCGUAGUGGGGUUGUUAAGUCAGUUGUGAAAGUUUGGGGCCUAACCCUCGAAUUGCAAUUGAUACUGGCAGUCUUGAGUACAGUUGAGGUAGGCGGAAUGCGUGGUGUAGCGGUGAAAUGCUUAGAUAUCACGAAGAACUCCGAUUGCGAAGGCAGCUUACUAGACUGCCACUGACAUUGAUGCUCGAAAGUGUGGGUAUCAAACAGGAUUAGAUACCCGAGUAGUC
Molecule: ribosomal RNA, 460 nt
Filed under: uncultured bacterium
Lineage: Bacteria
Description: partial 16S ribosomal RNA
Rfam family: Bacterial small subunit ribosomal RNA
Source: RNAcentral